This 491-nucleotide ribosomal RNA is filed under the name uncultured bacterium. RNAcentral describes it as "partial 16S ribosomal RNA". It matches the Rfam family "Bacterial small subunit ribosomal RNA", at positions 29 to 506 of the family's 1533-position model. The record is from RNAcentral.
AGUGAACGCUGGCGGUAGGCCUAACACAUGCAAGUCGAACGGCAGCACAGUAAGAGCUUGCUCUUACGGGUGGCGAGUGGCGGACGGGUGGGGAAUACAUCGGAAUCUACUUUUUCGGGGGGGAUAACGUAGGGAAACUUACGCUAAUACCGCAUACGACCUACGGGUGAAAGCAGGGGAUCUUCGGACCUUGCGCGAUUGAAUGAGCCGAUGUCGGAUUAGCUAGUUGGCGGGGUAAAGGCCCACCAAGGCGACGAUCCGUAGCUGGUCUGAGAGGAUGAUCAGCCACACUGGAACUGAGACACGGUCCAGACUCCUACGGGAGGCAGCAGUGGGGAAUAUUGGACAAUGGGCGCAAGCCUGAUCCAGCCAUACCGCGUGGGUGAAGAAGGCCUUCGGGUUGUAAAGCCCUUUUGUUGGGAAAGAAAAGCAGCAGGUUAAUACCCCGCUGUUCUGACGGUACCCAAAGAAUAAGCACCGGCGAACUUCGU